GACGAACGCUGGCGGCGUGCUUAACACAUGCAAGUCGAGCGGUAAGGCCCUUUCGGGGGUACACGAGCGGCGAACGGGUGAGUAACACGUGGGUGACCUGCCCCCUACUCUGGGAUAAGCCUGGGAAACUGGGUCUAAUACCGGAUAUGACCUCAUAUCGCAUGGUGUGUGGUGGAAAGUGGUGUUUUCGGACACUGUCGGUGGGGGAUGGGCCCGCGGCCUAUCAGCUUGUUGGUGGGGUGAUGGCCUACCAAGGCGACGACGGGUAGCCGGCCUGAGAGGGCGACCGGCCACACUGGGACUGAGACACGGCCCAGACUCCUACGGGAGGCAGCAGUGGGGAAUAUUGCGCAAUGGGCGGAAGCCUGACGCAGCGACGCCGCGUGGGGGAUGACGGCCUUCGGGUUGUAAACCUCUUUCGCCAGGGACGAAGGGUGACUGACGGUACCUGGAGAAGAAGCACCGGCCAACUACGUGCCAGCCGCCGCCGUAAAAC
RNAcentral lists this ribosomal RNA (496 nucleotides) under uncultured bacterium. RNAcentral describes it as "bacterial SSU rRNA". It matches the Rfam family "Bacterial small subunit ribosomal RNA", at positions 28 to 526 of the family's 1533-position model. The record is from RNAcentral.